RNAcentral lists this ribosomal RNA (433 nucleotides) under uncultured bacterium. RNAcentral's name for it is "partial 16S ribosomal RNA". It matches the Rfam family "Bacterial small subunit ribosomal RNA", at positions 29 to 507 of the family's 1533-position model. The record is from RNAcentral.
AGCGAACGCUGGCGGCAGGCUUAACACAUGCAAGUCGAGCGGGCCCUUCGGGGUCAGCGGCAGACGGGUGAGUAACACGUGGGAACGUACCCUUUGGUUCGGAAUAACGCUGGGAAACUAGCGCUAAUACCGGAUACGCCCUUUUGGGGAAAGGCUUGCUGCCGAAGGAUCGGCCCGCGUCUGAUUAGCUAGUUGGUGGGGUAAUGGCCUACCAAGGCGACGAUCAGUAGCUGGUCUGAGAGGAUGAUCAGCCACACUGGGACUGAGACACGGCCCAGACUCCUACGGGAGGCAGCAGUGGGGAAUAUUGGACAAUGGGCGCAAGACUGAUCCAGCCAUGCCGCGUGAGUGAUGAAGGCCUUAGGGUUGUAAAGCUCUUUUGUCCGGGACGAUAAUGACGGUACCGGAAGAAUAAGCCCCGGCUAACUUCGUG